RNAcentral lists this ribosomal RNA (484 nucleotides) under uncultured spirochete. RNAcentral describes it as "bacterial SSU rRNA". It matches the Rfam family "Bacterial small subunit ribosomal RNA", at positions 97 to 570 of the family's 1533-position model. The record is from RNAcentral. Lineage: Bacteria; Pseudomonadati; Spirochaetota; Spirochaetia; Spirochaetales.
GGCGAACGGGUGAGUAACACGUAGGUGAUCUGCCCUUGAGUUGGGGAUAGCCCAUGGAAACAUGGGGUAAUACCGAAUACGUUCACCGGGCUGUGGUCUGGUGAGGAAAAGCGCUUCGGCGCUGCUCGAGGAUGAGCCUGCGGCUGAUUAGCUAGUUGGUAGGGUAACGGCCUACCAAGGCGACGAUCAGUAGCCGGCCUGAGAGGGUGAGCGGCCACACUGGGACUGAGAUACGGCCCAGACUCCUACGGGAGGCAGCAGCUAAGAAUCUUCCGCAAUGGACGAAAGUCUGACGGAGCGACGCCGCGUGGGUGAUGAAGGCCGGAAGGUUGUAAAGCCCUUUUCUAUCUGAGGAAUAAGCACAGGAGGCAAUGCCUGUGUGAUGACGGUAGGGUAGGAAUAAGCCCCGGCCAAUUACGUGCCAGCAGCCGCGGUAACACGUAUGGGGCGAGCGUUGUUCGGAAUCAUUGGGCGUAAAGGGCGC